RNAcentral lists this ribosomal RNA (746 nucleotides) under uncultured bacterium. Its description in RNAcentral is "bacterial SSU rRNA". It matches the Rfam family "Bacterial small subunit ribosomal RNA", at positions 8 to 749 of the family's 1533-position model. The record is from RNAcentral.
AGACUUUGAUUAUGGCUCAGGAUGAACGCUAGCGACAGGCUUAACACAUGCAAGUCGAGGGGCAUCAUGAGGUAGCAAUACCUUGAUGGCGACCGGCGCACGGGUGAGUAACGCGUAUGCAACCUGCCCGAUACCGGGGUAUAGCCCAUGGAAACGUGGAUUAACACCCCAUAGUACUUUUAUCCUGCAUGGGAUGUGAGUUAAAUGUUCAAGGUAUCGGAUGGGCGUGCGUCCUAUUAGUUAGUUGGCGGGGUAACAGCCCACCAAGACGAUGAUAGGUAGGGGUUCUGAGAGGAAGGUCCCCCACAUUGGAACUGAGACACGGUCCAAACUCCUACGGGAGGCAGCAGUGAGGAAUAUUGGUCAAUGGACGUAAGUCUGAACCAGCCAAGUCGCGUGAGGGAAGACUGCCCUAUGGGUUGUAAACCUCUUUUAUAAGGGAAGAAUAAGUUCUACGUGUAGAAUGAUGCCUGUACCUUAUGAAUAAGCAUCGGCUAACUCCGUGCCAGCAGCCGCGGUAAUACGGAAGAUGCGAGCGUUAUCCGGAUUUAUUGGGUUUAAAGGGUGCGUAGGCGGUUUAUUAAGUUAGUGGUUAAAUAUUUGAGCUAAACUCAAUUGUGCCAUUAAUACUGGUAAACUGGAGUACAGACGAGGUAGGCGGAAUAAGUUAAGUAGCGGUGAAAUGCAUAGAUAUAACUUAGAACUCCGAUAGCGNANNCAGCUUACCAGACUGUAACUGACGCUGA